This is a long non-coding RNA of Anopheles gambiae (African malaria mosquito), 798 nucleotides long. RefSeq lists it as uncharacterized. The transcript has 3 exons. Lineage: Eukaryota; Metazoa; Arthropoda; Insecta; Diptera; Culicidae. The record is from RefSeq and is a predicted model, not a curated record.
AGCAGCCGUUGGGUUGAGCCGAUCGUGCUUCAAAUAGUCCGACAGUUCAUUCUGCUGCUCGAAGGAGAGACUGUGAAUGUUGACCUGUUUCACAAACUUUUCCCCUGCCGGAAGCUCCGGUAACCAUUCGUCCGUGACUUACAUAUCGGCUGGGUACCAUCGGACGAGCACUUCCGUCCCUUCGCUGGGUAUGUGGCGACGGCUGAGCUGCAAUCCACGGAACGUUAUCGCUCCACCCGGUCCGCUUGCGAUGGUGGCAAGCCGUAUCAAGCGAUGCUGCAACCCUUCCAUCACACCGGAAUCGAAGAAAUCAAAACGGCGCGCUGCACGGAUGUACGGAAAACGGGAAACAUAACGAGCGAUUAGUGUUAAAGAUUUUUACUAAGAAUAUAUUCUGCGAUUGAUUCAGACUGUACAACUAACAACUGUACACCAGGGUAACAACUGUACCCGUGAUACAGUCGUGAACUCUAACGUCUCAAUAACAUGCCCGUCAUGGGUUCAAGCCUAGGAUGAACCGUCCCACCGUAGCAAGGAUUGACUAUCCGGCUGCGUGGUAAUGAAUUAAGUCUCGAAAGCCUGUGUAUAGGCCGGCAUGUCUUUGUAGGUCGUUACGCCAAAUAGAAGAGCUAACAACUGUCAAAAAGGUGUAGCUUUUUAUCAAAUAAAAAAAGAAUUUAAAAAAGUAUCGGCUAGUAGCUAGUGUAAAUAUCUUCAUAAAUUGUAACUUUCUGUUAAAUGACAUAGAAUAAGUUAAAGAAAAGCUAGUAUAAAUAAAGGCACCUGUAAGCUUCAUCA